RNAcentral lists this ribosomal RNA (204 nucleotides) under Expression vector pCom11. The record is from RNAcentral.
AAGGCCAUCCGUCAGGAUGGCCUUCUGCUUAAUUUGAUGCCUGGCAGUUUAUGGCGGGCGUCCUGCCCGCCACCCUCCGGGCCGUUGCUUCGCAACGUUCAAAUCCGCUCCCGGCGGAUUUGUCCUACUCAGGAGAGCGUUCACCGACAAACAACAGAUAAAACGAAAGGCCCAGUCUUUCGACUGAGCCUUUCGUUUUAUUUG